This 78-nucleotide small nucleolar RNA is filed under the name Diaphorina citri (Asian citrus psyllid). RNAcentral describes it as "small nucleolar RNA SNORD24". It matches the Rfam family "Small nucleolar RNA SNORD24". From Rfam's summary of the family: U24 is a member of the C/D class of snoRNA which contain the C (UGAUGA) and D (CUGA) box motifs. C/D box snoRNAs have been shown to act as methylation guides for a number of RNA targets. U24 is encoded within an intron of the gene for ribosomal protein L7a in mammals, chicken and Fugu. Lineage: Eukaryota; Metazoa; Arthropoda; Insecta; Hemiptera; Psyllidae. The record is from Rfam by way of RNAcentral.
UGACUGUGAUGAUGAAAGAGAUAUUUGCUAGCUGAGAGUUCAUGCUGACAAGACCUUACCACCAAGAUCUCUGAGUUA